UAGUGGCGAACGGGUGAGUAACACGUGGGCAAUCUGCCCUGCACUCUGGGACAAGCCCUGGAAACGGGGUCUAAUACCGGAUACGAGCCUCCCGGGCAUCUGGGAGGUUGGAAAGCUCCGGCGGUGCAGGAUGAGCCCGCGGCCUAUCAGCUUGUUGGUGAGGUAACGGCUCACCAAGGCGACGACGGGUAGCCGGCCUGAGAGGGCGACCGGCCACACUGGGACUGAGACACGGCCCAGACUCCUACGGGAGGCAGCAGUGGGGAAUAUUGCACAAUGGGCGAAAGCCUGAUGCAGCGACGCCGCGUGAGGGAUGACGGCCUUCGGGUUGUAAACCUCUUUCAGCAGGGAAGAAGCGAAAGUGACGGUACCUGCAGAAGAAGCGCCGGCUAACUACGUGCCAGCAGCCGCGGUAAUACGUAGGGCGCAAGCGUUGUCCGGAUUUAUUGGGCGUAAAGAGCUCGUAGGCGGCUUGUCGCGUCGAUUGUGAAAGCCCGGGGCUUAACUCCGGUCUGCAGUCGAUACGGGCAGGCUAGAGUGUGGNAGGGGAGAUCGGAAUCCU
RNAcentral lists this ribosomal RNA (562 nucleotides) under Streptomyces sp. 387D10. RNAcentral's name for it is "bacterial SSU rRNA". It matches the Rfam family "Bacterial small subunit ribosomal RNA", at positions 93 to 670 of the family's 1533-position model. Lineage: Bacteria; Bacillati; Actinomycetota; Actinomycetes; Kitasatosporales; Streptomycetaceae. The record is from RNAcentral.